RNAcentral lists this ribosomal RNA (497 nucleotides) under uncultured bacterium. Its description in RNAcentral is "partial 16S ribosomal RNA". It matches the Rfam family "Bacterial small subunit ribosomal RNA", at positions 28 to 507 of the family's 1533-position model. The record is from RNAcentral.
GAUGAACGCUGGCGGCGUGCCUAAUACAUGCAAGUCGAGCGAACGGACGAGAAGCUUGCUUCUCUGAUGUUAGCGGCGGACGGGUGAGUAACACGUGGAUAACCUACCUAUAAGACUGGGAUAACUUCGGGAAACCGGAGCUAAUACCGGAUAAUAUUUUGAACCGCAUGGUUCAAUAGUGAAAGACGGUUUUGCUGUCACUUAUAGAUGGAUCCGCGCUGCAUUAGCUAGUUGGUAAGGUAACGGCUUACCAAGGCAACGAUGCAUAGCCGACCUGAGAGGGUGAUAGGCCACACUGGAACUGAGACACGGUCCAGACUCCUACGGGAGGCAGAAGUAGGGAAUAUUCCGCAAUGCGCGAAAGCCUGACGGAGCAACGCCGCGUGAGUGAUGAAGGUCUUCGGAUCGUAAAACUCUGUUAUUAGGGAAGAAAAUAUGUGUAAGUAACUGUGCACAUCUUGACGGUACCUAAUCAGAAAGCCACGGCUAACUACGUG